AUGAACGCUGGCGGCGUGCCUAACACAUGCAAGUCGAACGGAGUCGUUUUGGAAAUCUCUUCGGAGAUGGAAUUCUCGACUUAGUGGCGGACGGGUGAGUAACGCGUGAGCAAUCUGCCUUUAAGAGGGGGAUAACAGUCGGAAACGGCUGCUAAUACCGCAUAAAGCAUUAAAUUCGCAUGUUUUUGAUGCCAAAGGAGCAAUCCGCUUUUAGAUGAGCUCGCGUCUGAUUAGCUAGUUGGCGGGGUAACGGCCCACCAAGGCGACGAUCAGUAGCCGGGCUGAGAGGGUGAACGGCCACAGUGGGACUGAGACACGGCCCAGACUCCUACGGGAGGCAGCAGUGGGGAAUAUUGCGAAAUGGGGGAACCCCUGACGCAGCAACGCCGCGUGAUUGAAGAAGGCCUGCGGGUUGUAAAGAUCUUUAAUCAGGGACGAAACAAAUGACGGUACCUGAAGAAUAAGCUCCGGCUAACUACGUG
This 482-nucleotide ribosomal RNA is filed under the name uncultured bacterium. Its description in RNAcentral is "partial 16S ribosomal RNA". It matches the Rfam family "Bacterial small subunit ribosomal RNA", at positions 29 to 507 of the family's 1533-position model. The record is from RNAcentral.